GACGGAAGGUGCAAGCGUUGCUCGGAAUCACUGGGCGUAAAGGGUGCGUAGGCGGCCGUGCAAGUCUGGCGUGAAAGCCCCGGGCUCAGCCCGGGAAGUGCGCUCGAAACUGCAGUGGCUCGAGUGCCGGAGGGGAGAGUGGAAUUCCUGGUGUAGCGGUGAAAUGCGUAGAUAUCAGGAGGAAUACCGGUGGCGAAAGCGACUCUCUGGACGGCAACUGACGCUGAGGCACGAAAGCGUGGGGAGCAAACAGG
RNAcentral lists this ribosomal RNA (254 nucleotides) under uncultured bacterium. Its description in RNAcentral is "partial 16S ribosomal RNA". It matches the Rfam family "Bacterial small subunit ribosomal RNA", at positions 524 to 776 of the family's 1533-position model. The record is from RNAcentral.